Molecule: ribosomal RNA, 449 nt
Filed under: uncultured bacterium
Lineage: Bacteria
Description: partial 16S ribosomal RNA
Rfam family: Bacterial small subunit ribosomal RNA
Source: RNAcentral
GUCGAGAAUCAUUCACAAUGGGGGAAACCCUGAUGGUGUGACGCCGCGUGGAGGAUGAAGGUCUUCGGAUUGUAAACUCCUGUCAUGUGGGAGUAAAGCCGGGUGUUAAAUGCAUGCCGGUCUGAGAGUACCACAAGAGGAAGGGACGGCUAACUCUGUGCCAGCAGCCGCGGUAAUACAGAGGUCCCAAGCGUUGUUCGGAAUCACUGGGCGUAAAGGGUGCGUAGGCGGCGCGGAAAGUCAGGGGUGAAAUCCCGGAGCUCAACUCCGGAACUGCCUUUGAUACUCCCGCGCUUGAGAACUGGAGGGGAGACCGGAAUUCACGGUGGAGCAGUGAAAUGCGUGGAUAUCGUGAGGAACACUAGUGGCGAAGGCGGGUCUCUGGACAGUAUCUGACGCUGAGGCACGAAGGCCAGGGGAGCGAACGGGAUUAGAUACCCUUGUAGUCC